Molecule: ribosomal RNA, 302 nt
Filed under: Pseudovibrio sp. AU452_bs_Ted1_MB20SE
Lineage: Bacteria; Pseudomonadati; Pseudomonadota; Alphaproteobacteria; Hyphomicrobiales; Stappiaceae
Description: bacterial SSU rRNA
Rfam family: Bacterial small subunit ribosomal RNA
Source: RNAcentral
ACGGAUCCUUCGGGAUUAGUGGCAGACGGGUGAGUAACGCGUGGGAAGCUACCUUGUGGUAGGGGACAACAGUUGGAAACGACUGCUAAUACCCUAUGAGCCCUAUGGGGGAAAGAUUUAUCGCCAUGAGAUGUGCCCGCGUUAGAUUAGCUAGUUGGUAAGGUAAUGGCUUACCAAGGCGACGAUCUAUAGCUGGUCUGAGAGGAUGAUCAGCCACACUGGGACUGAGACACGGCCCAGACUCCUACGGGAGGCAGCAUUGGGGAAUAUUGGACAAUGGGGGCAACCCUGAUCCAGCCAUG